UCUUCGAUAGCUCAGUGGUAGAGCAAUCGGCUGUUAACCGAUUGGUCGUAGGUUCGAAUCCUACUCGGAGAG
RNAcentral lists this transfer RNA (72 nucleotides) under Monostroma nitidum. RNAcentral describes it as "tRNA-Asn". It matches the Rfam family "tRNA". Rfam says of the family: Transfer RNA (tRNA) molecules are approximately 80 nucleotides in length. Their secondary structure includes four short double-helical elements and three loops (D, anti-codon, and T loops). Lineage: Eukaryota; Viridiplantae; Chlorophyta; Ulvophyceae; Ulvales; Monostromataceae. The record is from RNAcentral. RNAcentral also lists the same sequence under 1 other name.